UGAUGUUUUUUCCCCAAAUUUAUUCCAUACAGAUAGAAAUGUGCGAUAUGUGUAUACAUGUUUGUGUGUAGAUAUUUCCUUUUCCUCUUAUGCAAAUGAGAUCAUAUUCCAUUCAAUGUACUGCCUUUUUCUCUUGGCAAUGUGUCAAUUACCAUUCCAUAUCAAUACAGUUUUCUUAAUGGCUUCGUAAUAUGGGCUUCCCAUACUCCCUGUCUCUUCAUCUUCAGACCUGAGGGCCCCACUGUUUCCCUCCAAGUUCUGAGUCCCAACGCCAUCCUGCCUCGGACUUGUCAGUGACUUUGACCUCAAUCGUUGCUCCUUCACGUGGCAUUGUCAGGAGUCUCUAAUAUCCAGCAGGUGCCUGGCCCCAUGGGCUUUAUAAAAAUGGCAGCUCCCUUCUUCUGCACCCUGUGCUAUGCUAGGGCCAGCUGGGGGUACCAUAGAAUAAUGCCCGAGGGUGUAGACUCCCUGUCUUACCAGCCGUAUGACCUCAGGCAAGUGCCCUAACCUCUCUGAGCCUCAGUUUCCUCCGUUGCAUUGAGGCUAUUCACAGUCCCGUACAAUGAUGCUCACACAGCGCUGAGCCCAGGGCCCAGCUCGGAGCCAGUCGGCAUCACGUGAUCUUUCGGGAAGAAAAGGUGGGCAGAGCCCUGGGUCGGUGGCCACCUGCUUUUGGGUAGGGCACUAAUACAGGGUGCUGAAGCGGGAAGGUGAGGCCGAGCUGGGCGGCCCUGGGAACCCGGGAAGGAGGCGAGGCUGGAGUGGAAACGAUUAGAAUGAGAGCAAACUGGCUCCUGAAUAGAAGCUUUUAUUCCUGCCGGAGAGGGCUUUGUUCCACAAACACGUGACACACAAAAGCCUCUACUUGAAUUCGGGAACCCUAAUUGGUUCUCAGGUGGGGGAGGAGAGGGGUGUCCGGAUU
This 922-nucleotide long non-coding RNA is filed under the name Homo sapiens (human). RNAcentral's name for it is "HSALNT0370944". Lineage: Eukaryota; Metazoa; Chordata; Mammalia; Primates; Hominidae. The record is from RNAcentral.